GCCCCACAGCCCCACCACCCCUCUGUCCCACUGCUGCCUGGAAAGGGGGGGCUCUGGAUCCUGUAUAAACCUGGGAAGGAUAUUGGAAUCCCAUAUAACCCCAGGAAGGAUAUUGGGAUCCCAUAUAACCCCAGGAAGGACACAGAGAACCUAUAUAACCCCAGGAAGGACACUCAGAUCCCAUAUAACCCCAGGAACGAUGCAGAGAUCCUAUAUAACCCCAGGAAGGACACUCAGAUCCCAUAUAACCCCAGGAAGGACACAGAUACUAUACAACCCCAGGAAGGAC
RNAcentral lists this long non-coding RNA (289 nucleotides) under Gallus gallus (chicken). Lineage: Eukaryota; Metazoa; Chordata; Aves; Galliformes; Phasianidae. The record is from RNAcentral.